UGCAUCACUUCACGCGUGUCAUCUGCGGCAACAGCGACAGAAUGUAUGACAUAUACCAAGCAGCACAGUCGUCAUCGCAUACUUUUUGCUUUCAACGGCAAGAAAACACUGAGGAAGUCGUUGAGAAGAUUUCUAUGGAGUUUGGACCACGGGCGUCACAAUUCAGAUGACUCUGCAGCAGCACGCGGCUUAUUCACCGAUCCUUUUGCCAACAGAUUUUCAUCUGUUUCGGUCACUGCAACAUUUCCUAGCGGACACGCGUUUCAUCGAUGUUGAAAGCAUUAAAAAAGAACGCAUCGACGACUUUACCGAUUCGAAAGCAUCCGAAAUAGAAGCUGAAUUUUCGAGCAGAAGGGCUGAGAAACUUAUUUGCUACGCCUAAUACAACAACAUCGGACAAAAAAGAAAGUUUCAUAAAAUGCUAGAAACGUAGAAUUCGACUUACACGUUCCGCUGGAAACGACACGUUCUGCAGCCCCCCGUCCGCAUCUUUCAUAGAAAUGUCCAGAGUCAGAGUUUUCGUGUUCGCCGCUAUUAAAAACUGGGGCUCGUUUUCCAUGUCGAUGAUUCUGAUAAUAUGCCAAGUAUACUUUGGCAGUUUCCUGGCUCGGAACGUGCAGACUACACUGAACUCCUCUGGCAAAUCGUUCGGAAGUAUGUCCCUGGGUGUGGGCCGAGACGGAAAAGAAAGAAUUAGAAGAGCGACGGAUCGAGAUUUGGAAUCGAGCGGCUUGCGAAAAAACAAAAAACAUCAACCAAAAGGCAUUGAAAAACGUGACGAAAAGUCGGAUCCGUACUUCGUUGGCAGAGUGACGUCGGUGUCUUUUCCCAAUCUGUAAGCUGUUUGCAAGAGGCUGCUACCUCUGACCCGUGUCAAAGCGACGUAAUGCGGCUCUAAGCGAUCCAAUCUUAGCUUGCUGAUGAAGUCGAACGUCUGGAGAUCCUCCUCUGUGCGAUUCUGGCCGUCGCACGGCACCCGUGGCGACUCCGACGCCAUUUCUUCCCCGGUUGCAAGUUCUGUGAGAGAAACGCUAAAAUCAAUUUAGUUUAAAAUAAUUUUAA
This is a non-coding RNA of Megalopta genalis, 1062 nucleotides long. The record is from RefSeq and is a predicted model, not a curated record. Lineage: Eukaryota; Metazoa; Arthropoda; Insecta; Hymenoptera; Halictidae.